This 253-nucleotide ribosomal RNA is filed under the name uncultured bacterium. Its description in RNAcentral is "partial 16S ribosomal RNA". It matches the Rfam family "Bacterial small subunit ribosomal RNA", at positions 524 to 776 of the family's 1533-position model. The record is from RNAcentral.
UACAGAGGCUGCAAGCGUUAUUCGGAUUCACUGGGCGUAAAGGGUGCGCAGGCGGCCAAGUGAGUGAGGCGUGAAAGCCUGGAGCUUAACUCCAGAAUUGCACCUCAAACUACAUGGCUAGAGCAUUGGAGAGGGUAGCGGAAUUCACGGUGUAGCAGUGAAAUGCGUAGAUAUCGUGAGGAACACCAGAGGCGAAGGCGGCUACCUGGACAAUUGCUGACGCUCAGGCACGAAAGCGUGGGGAGCAAACGGG